GGGGGAAACCCUGACGCAGCGACGCCGCGUGGAGGAUGAAGGUCUUCGGGUUGUAAACUCCUUUUCUUGGGGAAAAUGAUGAUGGUACUCAAGGAAUAAGCCACGGCUAACUCUGUGCCAGCAGCCGCGGUAAGACAGAGGUGGCGAGCGUUGUUCGGAAUUACUGGGCUUAAAGGGCGAGUAGGCGGUAGAGCAAGUCUGAGGUGGAAUCCUAUGGCUUAACCAUAGAACUGCCUUAGAAACUGCUUUACUUGAGUCAGUGAGGGGAGGGCGGAAUUCCUGGUGUAGCGGUGAAAUGCGUAGAUAUCAGGAGGAAGGCCUGUGGCGAAAGCGGCCCUCUGGCACUGUACUGACGCUGAGGCGCGAAAGCGUGGGGAGCAAACAGGAUUAGAUACCCUGGUAGUCCACGCCCUAAACGGUGGGCAUUAGGUGUAGGGCUCGUAAGGGUUCUGUGCCGAAGGGAAACCAUUAAAUGCCCCGCCUG
Molecule: ribosomal RNA, 484 nt
Filed under: uncultured bacterium
Lineage: Bacteria
Description: bacterial SSU rRNA
Rfam family: Bacterial small subunit ribosomal RNA
Source: RNAcentral